RNAcentral lists this ribosomal RNA (510 nucleotides) under uncultured bacterium. Its description in RNAcentral is "partial 16S ribosomal RNA". It matches the Rfam family "Bacterial small subunit ribosomal RNA", at positions 28 to 507 of the family's 1533-position model. The record is from RNAcentral.
GACGAACGCUGGCGGCGUGCUUAACACAUGCAAGUCGAACGAAGAGCGAUGGAAGCUUGCUUCUAUCAAUCUUAGUGGCGAACGGGUGAGUAACGCGUAAUCAACCUGCCCUUCAGAGGGGGACAACAGUUGGAAACGACUGCUAAUACCGCAUACGAUCUAAUCUCGGCAUCGAGGAUAGAUGAAAGGUGGCCUCUACAUGUAAGCUAUCACUGAAGGAGGGGAGUGCGUCUGAUUAGCUAGUUGGAGGGGUAACGGCGCACCAAGGCGAUGAUCAGUAGCCGGUCUGAGAGGAUGAACGGCCACCUUGGGACUGAGACACGGCACAGACGCAUACGGGAGGCAGCAGGGGGGAAUCUUCCGCAAUGGACGAAAGUCUGACGGAGAAACGCCGCGGGAGUGAUGACGGCCUUCGGGUUGGAAAGCUCGGUUAAUCGGGACGAAAGGCCUUCUUGCGAACAGUUAGAAGGAUUGACGGUACCGGAAUAGAAAGCCACGGCUAACUACGUG